UACGGGGGGGAGCAAGCGUUGGUUCGGAUUUACUGGGCUGUGAAAGGGCGCGGUAGGCGGUCGUGACAAGUCACUUGUGAAAUCUCCGGGCUUAACUCGGAACGGAUCCGAAGUGAUACCUGUCGGACUAGAGUACGAGAAGGGGCAACUGGGAAUUCUCGGGUGUAGCGGUGAAAUGCGUAGAUAUCGAGAGGAACACCUGCGGCGAAGGCGGGUUGCUGGGCUGAUACUGACGCUGGAGGCGCGAAAGCCCAGGGGAGCGAACGGG
RNAcentral lists this ribosomal RNA (268 nucleotides) under uncultured bacterium. Its description in RNAcentral is "partial 16S ribosomal RNA". It matches the Rfam family "Bacterial small subunit ribosomal RNA", at positions 524 to 776 of the family's 1533-position model. The record is from RNAcentral.